This 253-nucleotide ribosomal RNA is filed under the name uncultured bacterium. RNAcentral's name for it is "partial 16S ribosomal RNA". It matches the Rfam family "Bacterial small subunit ribosomal RNA", at positions 524 to 776 of the family's 1533-position model. The record is from RNAcentral.
UACGAAGGGGGCUAGCGUUGCUCGGAAUUACUGGGCGUAAAGCGCACGUAGGCGGCUUUCUAAGUCGGGGGUGAAAUCCUGGAGCUCAACUCCAUAACUGCCUUCGAUACUGGAGAGCUUGAGUCCGGGAGAGGUGAGUGGAACUGCGAGUGUAGAGGUGUAAUUCGUAGAUAUUCGCAAGAGCACCAGUGGCGAAGGCGGCUCACUGGCCCGGUACUGACGCUGAGGUGCGAAAGCGUGGGGAGCAAACAGG